AGUGAACGCUGGCGGUAGGCCUAACACAUGCAAGUCGAACGGCAGCACAGUAAGAGCUUGCUCUUACGGGUGGCGAGUGGCGGACGGGUGAGUAAUACAUCGGUAUCUACUUUUUCGUGGGGGAUAACGUAGGGAAACUUACGCUAAUACCGCAUACGACCUACGGGUGAAAGCAGGGGAUCUUCGGACCUUGCGCGAUUGAAUGAGCCGCUGUCGGAUUAGCUAGUUGGCGGGGUAAAGGCCUACCAAGGCGACGGUCCGUAGCUGGUCUGAGAGGAAGAACAGCCACACUGGAACUGAGACACGGUCCAGACUCCUACGGGAGGCAGCAGUGGGGAAUAUUGGACAAUGGGGGCGAGCCGAAUCCAGCCAUACCGCGUGAGUGAAGAAGGCGUUCGGGUUGUAGAGCCCUUUUGUUGGGAAAGAAAAGCAGCAGGUUAAGACCCCGCUGUUCUGACGGUACCCAAAGAAUAAGCACCGGCUAACUUCGUG
RNAcentral lists this ribosomal RNA (492 nucleotides) under uncultured bacterium. Its description in RNAcentral is "partial 16S ribosomal RNA". It matches the Rfam family "Bacterial small subunit ribosomal RNA", at positions 29 to 507 of the family's 1533-position model. The record is from RNAcentral.